This 1819-nucleotide ribosomal RNA is filed under the name human gut metagenome. RNAcentral's name for it is "bacterial LSU rRNA". It matches the Rfam family "Bacterial large subunit ribosomal RNA", at positions 942 to 2841 of the family's 2925-position model. The record is from RNAcentral.
AAGCCUAUCAAACUAAGAAUGCCGGAGUAUUGAUGUAUGGGAGUCAGACAGUGUGAGAUAAAUCUCAUUGUCAAAAGGGAAACAGCCCAGAUCUACAGCUAAGGUCCCAAAUUGUAUCUAAGUGGAAAACGAUGUGGAAAUACGCAGACAACCAGGAUGUUGGCUCAGAAGCAGCCACUCAUUUAAAGAGUGCGUAAUAGCUCACUGGUCGAGCGUCUCUGCGCGGAAAAUUUAACGGGGCUAAGAUACAAACCGAAGCUUAGGCUGCAUCGUAAGAUGCGGGGUAGGGGAGCGUUGUGUAAGCGGAGAAACAGUAGCGUAAGCGGCUGUGGAGUUUACAGAAGUGAGAAUGCCGGAAUGAGUAGCGCGAAUGUGGUGAGAAUCCACAUGGCCGGAAACCUCAGGUUUUUGGAGGAAGGUUCGUCCGCUCCAAGUUAGGCGGGAGCUAAGGUCAGGCCGAAAGGCGUAGCCGAUGCACAGACGGUAGAGAUUCCGUCCCCACCGAAAGAUUUAAGCACAGGGACACUUUUUGAAGGUCGGAGCCAGGUGUUGGUUCUGGUAGUGAUCGAGGGAAAUAUAGUACCGAAGUCCGGCUGGAGAAGAGGCGAGAAAAGCUGUGUGUAUAUCUAAGGUGCCCGUACCGCAAACCGACACAGGUAGGUAGGAAGAAGAUUCUAAGGCCAACGGGAGAAGGGUUGUUAAGGAACUCGGCAAGUUGACCCCGUAACUUCGGAAUAAGGGGUGCUCACGAGAGUGAGCCGCAGAGAAUAGGCCCAGGCAACUGUUUACCAAAAACACAGGUUUGUGCUAAAUCGAAAGAUGACGUAUACGAGCUGACGCCUGCCCGGUGCUGGAAGGUUAAAAGGAGAUGUGCAAGCAUUGAAUUGAAGCCCCAGUGAACGGCGGCCGUAACUAUAACGGUCCUAAGGUAGCGAAAUUCCUUGUCAGGUAAGUUCUGACCCGCAUGAAAGGCGUAAUGAUCUGGGCACUGUCUCAACAGCCCGCCCGGCGAAAUUGUAGUACCGGUGAAGAUGCCGGUUACCCGCGACAAGACGGAAAGACCCCAUGGAGCUUUACUGUAGCCUAAUAUUGGGUUUCGAUGUUGCAUGCACAGGAUAGAUGGGACACAGGGAAACAAGUGCUUUGGCAUUUGUGGAGUGGCCGUUGGGAUACCAUCCUUGCGAUAUUGGAAUUCUAACCUGCGCCUUUGAAUCAAGGCGGGGGACAUUGUUAGGUGGGCAGUUUGACUGGGGCGGUCGCCUCCUAAAGAGUAGCGGAGGCGUUCAAAGGUUGGCUCGUCCUGGACGGAAACCAGGAGAGAGAGUGCAAACGCAAAAGCCAGCCUGACUGCGAGACUGACGGGUCGAGCAGAGACGAAAGUCGGAGUUAGUGAUCCGGUGGUAUGUGAGUGGAAAUGCCAUCGCUCAACGGAUAAAAGUUACCCUGGGGAUAACAGGCUGAUCUCCCCCAAGAGUCCACAUCGACGGGGAGGUUUGGCACCUCGAUGUCGGCUCAUCGCAUCCUGGGGCUGUAUUCGGUCCCAAGGGUUUGGCUGUUCGCCAAUUAAAGCGGUACGCGAGCUGGGUUCAGAACGUCGUGAGACAGUUCGGUCCCUAUCUGUCGUGGGCGCAGGAUAUUUGAAAGGCGCUGUCCCUAGUACGAGAGGACCGGGAUGGACGAACCUCUGGUGCACCAGUUGUCACGCCAGUGGCACAGCUGGGCAGCUAUGUUCGGAUCGGAUAAACGCUGAAAGCAUCUAAGCGUGAAGCCGGCCUUAAGAUAAGAUAUCCCACUGAGAUAAUCAGGUAAGACCCCUUGA